GGGGUCCAGGCGUUUCUGAGAAGAGAGGCAGCCGCUUCCAGGAAGAAAGUGGUGUCUGCUGGCUGCGCGGCUUGAAGUACCUUUUUGUGACUGAAAGAGGACACAAUGCAAGGCAGUUUGCUGCUACAGUGAUUUAGAAGAAUAACACAGAGAGAAAGAGAGAGGGGGAGAGAGAGAGAAUAUCUCACCUUCCUUGCAAAGCCUGGCUUGUUGCAUCUUGCUGCUGCUGCUGCUCUUUCUACUGCUGCUCCUGCAGCCGCUGUUUCUGCCAUCAGGUAAGGCUUCCUUUUUUGAUAGGGGAUUGGAUCGUGUGUGAUCGCUUCAGGGUACACGAGCAGAAAUUCAUACAUGAUUAAUAAAGUGCUACUAGCAUAAUCAGAAGCUGAAGGAGGGAGGUUGCGCGCGGAUCUGGCCUCUGAAUUAGGAACUGGUCUGUGGUUUUGCUUUGGGAAACUUCGGUAAGUUCUAAACAAGUCUUGUCUGCAAAGCUAGAGUUAAAUUAAAAGGAGAGGGAAAGAAAUGUUUUAGCCACUAACGUACCUUAUUUGGCUUGGCUUAAUUUUCAAAGGAAAAUAGUGCCGGGUGUCCAACUAGUUAUAUUAUAAAAGGCUCUGGUGAUAUCUUUUGUACACAUAUUUUCAAAGUCUUUGGUAAAUAUGUCUCAGCUGCUUUUUAUUAACAUACAGUAAUACUCCUACCACCUUCUCCACUGUUUUUUUUAAGACAUGUAUGUUUUUAAACUUCAUUAAAAAUUAAACUGCUGUAAAGAAAUUUAAGUGUUUCAAUAGCUGGUCUCUCAGUAUACAGCCAUUUGAGUUUCCUACCACAAAACUAACAUGGGACAAGUGGAAGAGGUACAGAUUGGUAGAUCUGCUAUGGGUUAUAUAAUAGGCAUUUCAACAUUAUCGUAAUGAUGUGAAUCAUUUGGUGGUCCAUUUAAAAAGUAAGACAUAUGUAUAAUAUAGGGCAUGCUAGUAAAUCAAUUUUAAAGAGAUCUUCAGCAUUUUAUAAAUAUUUUUCUUUUUAAAUAUCUUUAUUUGUCUCUUUUUCCAUCUGAAUCACAGUGUUUUCAGAACGUUUGUAGUACAGAGUGCUUGAUGUCUCUUAGCUUAUAGAUAUAUUUCUCCGUGCUCCCUGGAGAGGGAACUGACAUACUUUUGGUUGAUUCUGUAACCAUGGGAUGAUUUUCAGUUUCUCAUCAGGCAUUUUGAAGCUCAUUCACAAACUGCUCAGCUAGAAAAUUACGUUACAUUCUGAGUAGGAAAAAAAUUAAAUGGAGUAGAUUUGGAAAAUGUGUUUACAGUUUUAAAUACAUGACCAAAACAUAAAAAUCCAACCAUGCCAAGCAGGUAUUUAGUUUGCUUGGUCUUUUCACCACACUGGAUCGGUUUUAAGACUAUAAAAUAAUAUCCAGAUUCACAGCUGCCCAGAAAUAUUGAACCUCAUCUUUCAGUAGCAUCACUUAUUUAUUAAACUAUCCUAGUAAGUUGAGAAUCAUUUCAAAUUUUAUGUUUUCAUUAUUAUUUCUAGAAAGGAAUUUAAAUGAAUACCUUUUAUGAUAAAUAUUUUCAUGAUUCCAAGAAAGUUCUCUUCAGAAUUAAAAGGCAGACAGUUACUUUCCUCAAGCCAUAGCAGUUGCUUGCUGAAUUGUUUUAGAAUGCUCAGGAGCAUAACCAUACACAAAGUAGGAGCUUUCCACUUACUAACUGGCAUAUCAGCUGGUUCAGUAACAAAAUCUGGGGACCAUUCCUCUACUUGCUAUAGAAACCACUGGAGUAAAAAGAGGUUUCAUAUUAAUUUGAAAAUCCAAUUCCAGAAUAUAUUUUACCCUUUAUUAAUAGCUCAUACCUAGAGGACUUACUUUCAAGUGUAACCUUGCCAGCGUUAAGCCCCUUCCCCAUUAAAGAAAAAAAUAAAUCCCAUUUUCUUUUCUGUUAUGUUCAGCAAAUCUCUGGUUGCUAGAUUCUUACCUUCUACUGCUAUGGACCAUUUUCAAGCAAGUAGGGGGGAGUUUUCAUGCCAAGAAUGCUUUUUUUCCUACUGGACCUCAUUCUUUCCUCUGUCCUGCUUAGUGAUGUGAUCAUUAUAGAUAACUCCUCCAAAAGGAGCUGAAGUAUUACGAGAAGGAGGGUGUUGUUUGUUCUCUAUGUGGGAUGAUACACAUAUUUAGUUCUUAUCACAGCAAAAACACUGCUUAGUUUAUGGAAAAAAAAUCCUAUUAAUGCUUCACAUUACAUACAUAUACCCCAGUAUAACUGCAUCCUUUAUGGAUAAGACACAAAAUUGGUAUCCUUAGAUUGAGCAUCUUUUGCAUCUGGUAUUUUGGCAGAAUGUGUUUCAUGUCUGUGAUAUUGGUUGAAAUCAAUCAUUUAUCAUGUAGUGGUUGGUAAGAAUAUCUGUCACUCCUACAUCUUAAAAUGCAUUGUGAUGAAUGUCAGAUCACUCUUGCUGAUGAAACAGAACAGCAGAUAGUCUACUUAAACUGUUUUUACAUGAAAUGUGAAACAUUACUGUUUUCAUACCUAUGCCAUUUAGACAUCAUGUCAUUAAAUCUAAUAAUUGCGAUAGGAAGAUACAUAGAGUGAUGGUUCUCCUCAAAAGUGAGCCAUAUUUUCUUGUGAAAGUAUCAAAUAUAAGAACUUGUAUAACAAAAUGACCUACUAGUAGACUCUGUUGUAAUUGCCUUUUUACUUCCAAAGGAAAAGUGUGAUUCCAGAUGUCUCAUUUAAGGUAAGAGUCUAUUAUUUUAGCCUUAUAACAAAUUAUAGCUCUUUUUAACUAAGUAUGUCCUGUAUUACCAUGUCAGUGUUACCAUAUGAUUAAAUAACAUUUUACUUAUAAUGUAGCACCAAUUCUUGAUUCUAUUUAUAUUAAGCUAUAGGUGGAAAUAAUUUCAUUCUUCCUGUUAAACAAAUACAGAGUUUUAUUUUUAUGAAUAGGUUCAAUUUAUUUGGAGAAAAAUAAACUUAAUUAUUUAAAUAAGGGAUGAAAAUCUAUGAUUUUUACUAAGAAUGUUCUUUUUAACUUUACUAAUAAAUGAAGAUUGAACAAUUUAUACCCUUAGCUUUUAAAAGCAUUUUAACUUUUGGUUUUAGGGCAAUUACAUUUUUUUCUGGAUUAUCAUCCUAAAAGUGUGAUGUAUCAUCGCCAAACUUCAGAAGGAAAAUAUGUGUAUGUGUGAAUGUGAGCAAUACUGCCUGUGUUGAAUAUCAAUAGUUUUUACUCAAAGUUAUUUUUAAGCAUCAUGUGAUGAGAUGACUAAUAAUAUGGAGUAACAUUUUUAGAAAAGACUAAGAGAAAAUUACAACUUUUGAAAAACUGAAUAACAGAUGAACCUCACAUAAUGUUAUUCUACUCUUUCUGAGAUCCUUGAUAAAUAUUGUAAGAAUUCAUUUAUGAAAUGAUUAAUUAUUAUUUAAUAAGCACCUGUUAAAUUAUUUCACAGUACUUGAAAGCAGGGAUUAUGUUUAUUUUUAUAAAUAUAGCUUCAUUUAGGUUUAUAUCACUCUAUCAUAUAUAGUUCAUGAAAUAAGGGAUAAAUUACAUCUUCACUAUGCUUUGAUUAUUUUUUUUACUAAAGGGUUAUGGUUUUCUUUCAUAACCCUUGCUCUGUAACUAAGUAAUUACUCUGUAAUCAUAUUUAUAUUACUUUGAAUAUGAAAUGUUUCAUUUGAACAAUGUAAACUUUUCCUUAAAAUAUGUACAUCUCAUGCAUAUACCUGUAAAGAUUUUAGUGAGGGCAGAUGAGGCCCUAAUCUGUGCACAGUUACUCAUUAAAGAAAUACAGGAUUUACAUGCAACUGCUACAUUUAAGUGUUCAAAUGGCUGAAGGAUGCAUUCUUGGUUCUAAGUACCAAAGAAGUAAUUAAACUUUAAGAGAUAUGUUGUGAAUGUAGACUUAUCCACAAAUUAGGAUGCUAGUUACAGGUGUCAUUGAUUACCUUAAUAUGUCCUAUAAUCAAUGGAUUCUGUAACUCACAUUUGCAUCAAAAUCACUAUAGCAUGUCAAAAUAUUUGUUUAUGUAAAGGUUAGAGUCAUGAUUGACUAUCUGCAUAAUGAUGUCAAAAGACCAUAACCUGAGUCAGACAAUGGAAUGGAAAUUUUGAGAAUUACUUUAAAGCCAUUUUUGGGAAAGUUAUUUAGCUUUCUUUGAUGCUUGUUUUUUUCUCUUGAUUUAGCAUAUUAUUCCACAGACACAAUGAUCUGAUGGUUAGGUCUUUUUCUUUUUAAACUUCUAUGACUAUAGCAAGCUAGAUUUGUGGAGAUUAACUGCAGCCAGGGCUAGUCUGCUGGGUUAAAGGAAAACAUGUGGUGGCCAGGAUUUGUUGUGUGCUGGAAUUUACUUGUUAUGUUGGGAUAGAAGUGGUUUCAGGUCACUUAUCUUAAAAAAAAAAAAAAGCCCAUUUAUUUUUGGCAAGAAUGCUUUUAGUGAAUAGGCAUGAAUGUUUCCGGUACUUUAAAAAAUCAGUGAAAAUUAGAUUACAAUGAAACUUUUACCACUAAAUAUCAAAAGGAGUAGAAGUCAAGGAAAGAGAACAGGAGGUAUCUAGAGAGAGAGGACAGAAUCAUGGGAAAUUUGUGGAGUUGUUUUCUUAUAGAUACUUGAGCAUGUGAAUAGAUCAGGUGAAAAUCUU
RNAcentral lists this long non-coding RNA (4635 nucleotides) under Sus scrofa (pig). RNAcentral describes it as "lncRNA (ENSSSCG00000058555.1)". Lineage: Eukaryota; Metazoa; Chordata; Mammalia; Artiodactyla; Suidae. The record is from RNAcentral.